Transfer RNA from Camelus ferus (Wild Bactrian camel), 73 nucleotides. It matches the Rfam family "tRNA". Rfam says of the family: Transfer RNA (tRNA) molecules are approximately 80 nucleotides in length. Their secondary structure includes four short double-helical elements and three loops (D, anti-codon, and T loops). Lineage: Eukaryota; Metazoa; Chordata; Mammalia; Artiodactyla; Camelidae. The record is from Rfam.
GAGGGUAUAGCUCAAGUGGUAGAGCAUAUGGUUAGUAUUCAUGAGGUCCUGGGUUCAAUCCCCAGUACAUCCU